Trichomycterus rosablanca is the source of this 775-nucleotide long non-coding RNA. RefSeq lists it as uncharacterized. The record is from RefSeq and is a predicted model, not a curated record. Lineage: Eukaryota; Metazoa; Chordata; Actinopteri; Siluriformes; Trichomycteridae. The transcript has 3 exons.
GUGUAGUUAAAGCAGAGCGUAGCAGCUGGACCCAGGCAUGGCAGCUCUUCUCAGCUCUGCUCAUAGGAGAUAAGAGAACGGUGCGUAGUGCCUGAAGGGCCCCUGGUACCAGUGCACUUGUUUUUGCUGCUCCAUAGCCCCUCACCAGCUCUCUCAGGACCCCAAGCAACAGAUAGAGUACUGUCGGUAACACUGAUACACUGCCUGAAGUAAAAGAACAGAAGUAAGCAACAAUGGUGAACAAAUGGAGGGAAGUUCUGAGAGAAUUUCCAAAGCCAGGGUGACGAGAGUACAGUCGCUGUCACUCAAGGAUGACACAAUGCUGCCCCGUCUGCUGGCGCUGCCUGCCAGACGAGGACUCAGCUGAGGAAUUUUGCGUAGCAGUGUGCACAAGCACAGUUCCAGAGCUCCAAACACCAGAGACUUCCCUGGAACCAGACCGCCCGUAUCCCGUCCCUCGCCAAACUCUGGUACUGUCUCUUUCUCAGCUGCCCCAUCAUCCACUGAGCACAUUAGACACAACACAGAGCUAUGAAUAGAGGCUGCAGAUUCUUCUAUCUCCUUGAAACAGUUGGAAACGCGACUCAGUCAGACCAGGCUACUUGUUUCCAGUCAUCUAGUGUCCAGUGGCGGUGCUGUGAGGUGCAUAGCUCUGUGUCGAGCAUUCAUCAGGGGUACUUAAGUUGGGUGUCGGCUCCUUAAGCCCAUAUCUUGAAAGGAACAUUGUACAGUCCUUAUGCUGAUGUUUGUUGCACAUAUAUAAUAAAAUAUAUAA